CGAGGAAUAUUGGUCAAUGGGCGGAAGCCUGAACCAGCCAUGCCGCGUGCAGGACGACGGCCCUACGGGUUGUAAACUGCUUUUCCGGGGGAAGAAUAACCCCCCUGCGUGGGGGGAUGCCGGUACCCCGGGAAUAAGGAUCGGCUAACUCCGUGCCAGCAGCCGCGGUAAUACGGAGGAUCCUAGCGUUAUCCGGAUUUACUGGGUUUAAAGGGUGCGUAGGCGGACCCCUAAGUCCGCGGUGAAAGUCUGCGGCUCAACCGUAGGAUUGCCGUGGAUACUGGGGGUCUUGGAUUCGGUCGGGGCGGGCGGAAUGCGUGGUGUAGCGGUGAAAUGCGUAGAUAUCACGCAGAACGCCGAUAGCGAAGGCAGCUCGCCGGGCCGAUAUUGACGCUGAGGCACGAAAGCGUGGGGAUCGAACAG
This 423-nucleotide ribosomal RNA is filed under the name uncultured bacterium. RNAcentral describes it as "bacterial SSU rRNA". It matches the Rfam family "Bacterial small subunit ribosomal RNA", at positions 355 to 775 of the family's 1533-position model. The record is from RNAcentral.